This 1143-nucleotide ribosomal RNA is filed under the name Kurixalus eiffingeri (big-thumbed treefrog). Its description in RNAcentral is "partial 16S ribosomal RNA". It matches the Rfam family "Bacterial large subunit ribosomal RNA", at positions 700 to 2561 of the family's 2925-position model. The record is from RNAcentral. Lineage: Eukaryota; Metazoa; Chordata; Amphibia; Anura; Rhacophoridae.
UUUCAGUUUGCCACCCCGAAACUAAGCGAGCUACUUCAAAACAGCNNNNNGAGCUAACCCAUCUCUGUAGCAAUAGAGUGGGAAGAUUUUCAAGUAGAAGUGAUAAACCUACCGAGCUUAGAGAUAGCUGGUUAUUCAGAAAAAGAAUAUUAGUUCUGCCUCAAAUCUUAUACCUGCUAAUCAACAACCCCAAAGAUUUUAGAGUUAUUCAAAUAAGGAACAGCUUAUUUGAAAAAGGACACAACCUAAAUAAUAGGGUAACCCCCCAAAAAAAUUUAACAAGUGGGCCUAAGAGCAGCCACCUUUUAAAAAGCGUUAAAGCUUAAUUUAACUUUAUAAAAAUACCCCAAACUAACAUGAACCCCUCACUACUACUGAAUGAUUUUAUAUAAAUAUAAAAAACACCAUGCUAGAACUAGUAACAAGAAUUUAACAUUCUCCAUAAUAUAAGCAUAAACCAAAAUGGAUUCUCCAUUGGUAUUUAACGAAAAUGAGUAAUUAUACAGCAACAACACAAGAAAACCCUGCAUAUAAUUAAUCGUUAANNNUACACUAGAGUAUUACUGGAAAGAUUAAAAGAAAAAGAAGGAACUCGGCAAAUUUCAGCCCCGCCUGUUUACCAAAAACAUCGCCUCUUGUUAAACAAUAAGAGGUCUAGCCUGCCCAGUGANNNNNUUUAACGGCCGCAGUACCCUAACUGCGCGAAGGUAGCAUAAUCACUUGUUCUUUAAAUAAGGACUAGUAUCAACGGCAUCACGAGGGUUGCACUGUCUCCUUUAUCUAAUCAGUGAAACUGAUCUCCCCGUGAAAAAGCGGGGAUCUACCCAUAAGACGAGAAGACCCCAUGGAGCUUUAAACCUACAGCAACUCAACUAAAUAACCCUACACAAUUAUAGAGAUAUGCCUGUUGGCUUUAGGUUGGGGUGACCGCGGAGUAAAAAUUAUCCUCCAUAAUGCAAAGAUCUAAAUCUUUAUUCAAGAGCUACUACUCUAAAAAUUAGCAUACUAAUAUACACUGACCCGAUAAUCGAUUAAUGAACCAAGUUACCCUGGGGAUAACAGCGCAAUCUAUUUCAAGAGUUCAUAUCGACAAAUAGGCUUACGACCUCGAUGUUGGAUCAGGGUAUCCCAGUGGUGUAGAAG